CCCUUAGAUGUUCUGGGCCGCACGCGCGCUACACUGACAGAGCCAACGAGUUCUUCACCUUGGCCGGAAGGUCUGGGUAAUCUUGUUAAACUCUGUCGUGCUGGGGAUAGGGCAUUGCAAUUAUUGCUCUUCAACGAGGAAUGCCUAGUAAGCGCGUGUCAUCAGCACGCGUUGAUUACGUCCCUGCCCUUUGUACACACCGCCCGUCGCUACUACCGAUUGAAUGGCUCAGUGAGGCCUUCGGACUGGCUCAGGGAGGUUGGCAACGACCACCCCGAGCCGGAAAGUUCGUCAAACUCGGUCAUUUAGAGGAAGUAAAAGUCGUAACA
RNAcentral lists this ribosomal RNA (329 nucleotides) under uncultured eukaryote. RNAcentral describes it as "partial 18S ribosomal RNA". It matches the Rfam family "Eukaryotic small subunit ribosomal RNA", at positions 1470 to 1796 of the family's 1831-position model. The record is from RNAcentral.